CAACACAACAGUCACAGUGGAUCAACAGGUCAGCAAAAGCUCCCAGAGUGAUGUGAUAAAACUGAAUUUGCACCCAAGGGAAAUACACGUGUGAUCAGUGAGGUGACCUCGAGCCUGGGAGUAGUGCUGAUGAGUCCAUCUCUGGAACCAGGCAGACUGUUCCGCUGGCCAUGUUGUUUUCAAAGAUUUCAAAAGACUUGGGCAUUGUGAGAGGACAGAAAAUAUUAAAAAUGCUUUCAAAAUGUAAAUUGAGAGUAUAUUUGAAUACAGGGAUUAAACAAACUCAUGUGGAGGAAACACUAAGAGAGAAACAACUUGCGAGGACUUGUUACCUGAACGUACGUCCAGGUGAAUUGAAAUCAGGAACUAAAAAAAUCUGUGCAAAUAGUGCACUGCCCAGUCUUUGGUGUGCCUGGCAGAUGCCCUGCUAGAAAAUGUGCUUGUUUAUGCUUGAUGGAGGAGAAACAGGUUGGUGUGGAGUGGGCAAAGAUACACAGCAGAUCCAAUUAGCUUUGCUCAGUCUGUCCAGCAACAAGGCAGCUCUUCUUGGUGGGGUGUGCAGGCUCCUUCUGCAGGCAAUUCAGACAGUGAACUGAGAGAAUGAAUCACACCAUCUGUGUCAGACAUCAGCCACAAGGGACAGCCUUUUGUGGGUGUCUCUCUCUGCUGUUUGGACCGGGAGAUGAGACAGCUUCUAACAACUUCACCUUCAAAGUUCUGUGAGCAGUCUCAUGUAACAGGGGAUAAAUGCAGCAUCUUUGGUCUCUGGUGAUAAAAGACACGCUGGUCACCCGCGCUCCCGCGCUGGCGCAAGGCCCCUGGGCUCUGCUGGGCAGUGGCCUGGCAGCCGCACUCCCUCUGCAAAGGCCGUGGGACAGAGCACAGCAGGGACAGGACCCACCGCCCGCCAAAGGCAGGGAAGGACUCAGGACCCGGCACUUCCAGCAGAGCCCGCUGGAUGGCAGCGACAGGCAUAAUCACCCCACAAACGAGGAGCGGCACCGCUGCUGCAGCGUCUGACCGAUGCUGCUGUGUCUGCAAGUGAUGUGCUUUUCGCUGUGUGAAUGGCCCACACCGCGGGCACCUCGCUGGGCUCCAGGCUGGAUGCAUUGUCCCGAGCUGAAAUCGAACAGGUCAUCAUCGCUGAAAGGAAGAAGGGUCCUUCUCUGCCACAUCCCGACCACUCCAAACACUGUCACCACCCUCAGUCUGACGGACUUGACAUGCCCUGAGCCUGCACCAACUCCUGACAGCACCCUGGGGCUGGGAGCCAAGGCAGCCCGAUGGAAGGCUCAAUAAACAUGGUGGAGAAGGCAACACAUGUCUAGGAGCAGAGAUGCAAGCAAGGAGGGCAGGACUGCUGCUACUUUUCUUGUUUGUUUGUUUGUUUGUUUGUUUGUUUUUGAGGAGCACAUAUGGGCUUCAUCUAGUCACAUUUGUAGUAUGAUAAAAAUAAGAAUUCUGGGAUGGACACCCAAGUAGAGUUUGUGCAGUCCAACACCCUGUUCCAAGUAGGUGAGACCAGGUUGCUCAGGCACUUUCCUGGCUGAGUAUUGAAAAUCUCAGAGUGCAGAGAUUCCCUGCAUCUCUGAGGCCUUCUUCAAGAUUUGUUUACCUGUAUGAUGAAAAAGUUUUUGACUCAUUCUAGUGGUCCAGGUUGUGCCUGUACUUCUUGUUCUACGAUCACUGAACUGAUCACUUCAGGUGACUUGUGCUUGCCUGAGCAGCCCCAACCUCCCUUGAGAAAAUUCUAGACAGUGAUAACAUUCCCUUCACCUUUCAAAGAACCCACUCCCAGUAUCACACCUAGAGUUUUGCUACCAAAAAUGACUGUAUUUUGUUUCAAAGUGAUAUUUUUCUGACAAAAGACAUUCUGCAAAGCACUGGGCAGGUACAUACACAAACCAAGCCAAGACGAGUGUCCUGAAGCAAAGCUUUUUCUCUUGCUUCCCGAAUGUCAGUACCCAGUGGCUCACUACACCCGAUCCAGGGAGUGCAGGCAGUUUGCAGGGCUGGCGGCUGACACCCACAUUGGCAGCGAGAGUCAGAGCAGCAGAGACAGCCAGGCUUUAAUGACUUCAGGGGGUGAGGGCUAUGACUCACUAACAGGCCUACGGCAAGUAUGGGAGAGCUGACCUGACCACCUGCCCUUCUCUCUAUCCCUCUUUUUGGAGGUUCCCUCCCAAGCUGCAGGCAUGGCUAAGUGUCUCAAACACUCCCACGCUGCCAUAAACUGUGACCCAGCAUGCUAAGGUAAACCAGCACCCAUCUUGGUUCUCUUUCAAGACACAGGACUGCAACUUGUAACUUUUAAACUGCUUCCAUUGAUUAUCUGGAACUUGAUGGGCAUGGGAUGCUUCAUUUCCAAAUUCAGGGAGCUCUGGUGUUCAGACAGCUGAAUCAUACAGGCCAUAUUGUGCUCACCAAGGAUUUGAGCCACAAGGAAAAGGAAGGCUUAUCUCUGCACUCGCAGGCAAUGAAUCAACAAAAAGACACCAUUAAAGAGCUAAAGCUGAGGGAGGAGAGCAGCCUGAGUUCAAAGUCACAUGAACUCACUGGCCAUGUUUUAGCUAAGCAGCCUGGGAGGUGGCAAAUUUUUCAUGACUUUGAAUUAACCUUGGUAGCAUAAUGUUCCCUGAAAAAACAGAGAACAAGAACAGUAUAAUUCUAAAAGCCAUCGUGCCAAGUAUCGCGUUUGGUGAUUCAAAUAUUCAGAUCUCUAUAUGCAAGAAGAGCAUAUCUGCAGAAAUAUCAGUCUAACUUUUAAACUCUUUAUUACUGAUUAAAUCAAAGCACCCAUUGAAAUGUAAAGGUUUUACUGUCUGUAACCUGUGCUUAAAUAUUUCCACAGCCAGUUUGCAAAAUAAAUAUUCUCCAAACCAG
Molecule: long non-coding RNA, 2883 nt
Organism: Motacilla alba alba
Lineage: Eukaryota; Metazoa; Chordata; Aves; Passeriformes; Motacillidae
Exons: 3
Source: RefSeq, a predicted model, not a curated record